UGUGGGUCCUAAUGCCCCUUUAUAGCGACAGGGACACUAUUCUGCUCAGUGAAGCUAAGCAGGGCUGCACCCGGUCAGUACCUGGAUCGGAGACCAUAUGGGAAAGCUAGGUUGCUGCCGGAA
RNAcentral lists this ribosomal RNA (123 nucleotides) under Danio rerio (zebrafish). The record is from RNAcentral. Lineage: Eukaryota; Metazoa; Chordata; Actinopteri; Cypriniformes; Danionidae.